This 340-nucleotide unclassified non-coding RNA is filed under the name soil metagenome. RNAcentral's name for it is "partial contains 5.8S ribosomal RNA, internal transcribed spacer 2, and large subunit ribosomal RNA". The stretch from base 1 to 120 matches the Rfam family "5.8S ribosomal RNA", at positions 35 to 154 of the family's 154-position model. The record is from RNAcentral.
GAUGAAGAACGCAGCGAAAUGCGAUAAGUAAUGUGAAUUGCAGAGUUCAGUGAAUCAUCGAAUGUUUGAACGCUCAUUGCGACCGUCAGUAUUCUGACGGGCAUGCCUGUCCGAGCGUCAUUUCAACCCUCAAGCACUGCUUGGCGUUGGCGGAUUGCGUGCCCUCGCGGCGCUGCAACCGCCCAAAUACAGUGGCGGUCCCGCUGCGGCUCCCUUUGCGUAGUAACUCACCUCACACUGGACCGGGCGGCGGCCUGCCGUAAAACCCCAACUCACGAAAUGUUGACCUCGGAUCAGGUAGGAAUACCCGCUGAACUUAAGCAUAUCAAUAAGCGGAGGA